RNAcentral lists this ribosomal RNA (427 nucleotides) under uncultured bacterium. RNAcentral describes it as "partial 16S ribosomal RNA". It matches the Rfam family "Bacterial small subunit ribosomal RNA", at positions 355 to 774 of the family's 1533-position model. The record is from RNAcentral.
UGGGGAAUAUUGCACAAUGGGCGCAAGCCUGAUGCAGCCAUGCCGCGUGUAUGAAGAAGGCCUUCGGGUUGUAAAGUACUUUCAGCGGGGAGGAAGGCGAUAAGGUUAAUAACCUUGUCGAUUGACGUUACCCGCAGAAGAAGCACCGGCUAACUCCGUGCCAGCAGCCGCGGUAAUACGGAGGGUGCAAGCGUUAAUCGGAAUUACUGGGCGUAAAGCGCACGCAGGCGGUCUGUCAAGUCGGAUGUGAAAUCCCCGGGCUCAACCUGGGAACUGCAUUCGAAACUGGCAGGCUAGAGUCUUGUAGAGGGGGGUAGAAUUCCAGGUGUAGCGGUGAAAUGCGUAGAGAUCUGGAGGAAUACCGGUGGCGAAGGCGGCCCCCUGGACAAAGACUUACGCUCAGGUGCGAAAGCGUGGGGAGCAAACA